RNAcentral lists this long non-coding RNA (642 nucleotides) under Homo sapiens (human). Its description in RNAcentral is "non-protein coding lnc-ROCK2-3:9". The record is from RNAcentral. Lineage: Eukaryota; Metazoa; Chordata; Mammalia; Primates; Hominidae.
GUGCAGACAAAGCCCUGACGAAUAGAGGCCUGCGCAGAGUGCCCGGGGUGCAGGGCAGCAGGGCAGCCAGUGAACCACUGAGCUCGCACUGUAGCCAGUCCUGUGUGCCCCUGCUGGAUUCUGCUUCUAUGAGGGAGGCAGCAAGGAGUUGGGACUUCACAGGUGAAAGGACUUGCCAGGGUCUUACUUUGUCGCCCAGGCUGGAGUACAGUGGCAUGAUCGUAGCUCAUUGCAGCCUCCACCUCCCUGGGCUCAGGAGAUCCAUCUCAGCCUCCUGAGUAGCUGGGACCACAGGUGCCUGCCUCCCUGCUGCGCCUGGCCACGUGGAAACCCCUGUAGCUCCCUGGCUGUGCAGGAGCAGCCACAGUGUGCCCCUCCCAGGACCACCAUCCCCCUCACUGUCUCUGAGGCACCUGCGUGGACCGGGUCUGGAUUGAGUCUCAUUUCUCUGGAUUCCCACGGCAGCCGGCGGCUGCCUCUCCCACACCCGUCACUCUGUGUCAUGGAAAGCUGUGUGUUUGUCUUCAUUCCCACCGAGUCUGAGCCACUCGAGGUCAGGGCCAUGACCGUGAGCUACACGUCCUUGGCGCCCAGUGUGAGCCGUGUACAGUAGAGGCUGACUGACGUCUUGGAGGCAGAAGU